AGAAGAGAGGAAAAAACAAAAACCAAACCCUAGAGAGAGAAAAUGAAAGAAAAAGUGUGAAUUUCCAAGGAAAUUAACUGAAAAAGGUAAGAUUUUUUCUAUUAAGCUUGAGUUUUCUUAUUCCCAAGCAUUUCUCCUUAUUUUCCAUGAUUAAAUUGCAUGUUUUCAUGGCUGGUCAUAUGGGUCUAGAGAGAGAAAAUUGUUGGAUUGAUUUGAUUUUGAUAUAUGUUGGUGUUUAGUGUUAGUUUAGCAUGUU
RNAcentral lists this long non-coding RNA (256 nucleotides) under Theobroma cacao (cacao). RNAcentral's name for it is "long non-coding RNA (TCAC_LNC001009)". The record is from RNAcentral. Lineage: Eukaryota; Viridiplantae; Streptophyta; Magnoliopsida; Malvales; Malvaceae.